RNAcentral lists this transfer RNA (73 nucleotides) under Canis lupus familiaris (dog). It matches the Rfam family "tRNA". From Rfam's summary of the family: Transfer RNA (tRNA) molecules are approximately 80 nucleotides in length. Their secondary structure includes four short double-helical elements and three loops (D, anti-codon, and T loops). The record is from Rfam by way of RNAcentral. RNAcentral also lists the same sequence under 1 other name. Lineage: Eukaryota; Metazoa; Chordata; Mammalia; Carnivora; Canidae.
ACCUGGCUAGCUCAGUUAGUAGAGCAUGGGACUUGUGAUCUCAGGGUUGUAAGUUCAAGUUCCAUGUUGGGUG